This 256-nucleotide ribosomal RNA is filed under the name uncultured bacterium. RNAcentral's name for it is "partial 16S ribosomal RNA". It matches the Rfam family "Bacterial small subunit ribosomal RNA", at positions 524 to 776 of the family's 1533-position model. The record is from RNAcentral.
UACAGAGACCUCAAGCGUUAUCCGGAAUCAUUGGGCGUAAAGCGUACCGAUAGGUGGCUUAUUAAGUCUUUGGUUAAAUCCGGAAGCUCAACUUCCGGUUUGCUAAGGAUACUGGUAGGCUAGAGGGGCAAAGAGGUGAUUGGAACCAACGGUGUAGUAGUGAAAUGCGUUGAUAUCGUUGGGAACACCGAAAGCGAAGGCAGAUCACUGGGUGCCACCUGACACUGCUAGGACGAAAGCGUGGGGAGCGAAUGGG